UACGGAGGGUGCAAGCGUUAUCCGGAUUCACUGGGUCUAAAGGGUGCGUAGGAGGGCAGGUAAGUCAGUGGUGAAAUCUCCAAGCUUAACUUGGAAACUGCCGUUGAUACUAUCUGUCUUGAAUAUUGUGGAGGUGAGCGGAAUAUGUCAUGUAGCGGUGAAAUGCUUAGAUAUGACAUAGAACACCAAUUGCGAAGGCAGCUCACUACACAAUCAUUGACUCUGAGGCACGAAAGCGUGGGGAUCAAACAGG
RNAcentral lists this ribosomal RNA (253 nucleotides) under uncultured bacterium. RNAcentral describes it as "partial 16S ribosomal RNA". It matches the Rfam family "Bacterial small subunit ribosomal RNA", at positions 524 to 776 of the family's 1533-position model. The record is from RNAcentral.